RNAcentral lists this ribosomal RNA (119 nucleotides) under Lepisosteus oculatus (spotted gar). The record is from RNAcentral. Lineage: Eukaryota; Metazoa; Chordata; Actinopteri; Semionotiformes; Lepisosteidae.
GCCAGCAGCCACAUCACCCUGCAACUCACAACUGGCAACCCACUGAAGCUCAGCAGGUGUGAGCCUGGUCAGUACCUGGAUGGGGGACCUCCUGGGAGAAACUAAGGUUGCUGCUGGAA